RNAcentral lists this long non-coding RNA (1301 nucleotides) under Heterocephalus glaber (naked mole-rat). RNAcentral describes it as "lncRNA (ENSHGLG00100032812.1)". The record is from RNAcentral. Lineage: Eukaryota; Metazoa; Chordata; Mammalia; Rodentia; Bathyergidae.
CUGGGGUGGUUAGCUGGGGUCAUCUUUACAAAGAGCCAACAGGUGAGAGUCCCUUAAGGGCAGGCGUGCCAAGAAACUGAGACACUAAGAGUGCCUAAAAUAUCCCAGAGGCAGCCAUUCGGCGGCCUGGGUGGGCUUCUUCCCAGGCCAGGACCGCACAGGGUCUGGGAUAGAUGGCUCACAGCCAUCAAAACAGAGGACCGAGGGACAUGAGUGAGGAGAUGGGGGCAAGACCACAGAAGUGAGGAAGUGUGGUUUGGGCAAGUUGGGGUAACGUGGUUGGUGAGGGGAGGACGCUGGCGUGGGGACCCUGGUGUGAGGACCCUGGUGUGAGGACCCUGGUGUGGGGACCUUGGUGUGGGGACCCCGGUGUGAGGACCCUGGUGUGAGGACCCUGGUGUGGGGACCUUGGUGUGGGGACCCCGGUGUGAGGACCCUGGGGGACCCUGGUGUGGGGACCCUGGUGUGAGGACCCUGGUGUGAGGACCCUGGUGUGAGGACCCUGGUGUGAGGACCCUGGUGUGGGGACCCUGGUGUGGGGACCCUGGUGUGAGGACCCUGGUGUGGGGACGCAGGUGUGAGGACCCUGGUGUGGGGACCCUGGUGUGGGGACCCCGGUGUGGGGAUGUUGUCUGGGAAAGUUGGUAAGAAGGUGACGGUGAAGGGAUACUUGUCAGUAAUAAUCGUGAGUCAUGAGGAUGAGGGAGUGGGGCACACCUGAGAGGGGUGGUGGUGAGGUGACACUGGUGUGAGCAAGUUGUCCAGGUGACCCUUGGAGGAGACACUGUUGAAGGAACCCUGGAGAGGGGACAUAUCUGAGGGACGCUGGUGAGGAGACAUUGGAAGAGGAGGUUGGUAAGGGAAUGGUGGUCAUGGGACACUGGUGCGAGGUUGCUCAGGGGGAUGGGUUGGUGAAGGAUUGGUGGUGAGCAGACACUGGUGAGGGGAAUUUCAUGAGGGGAUGCUGUGGACUGACGUUGGUGAUGAUGUGGGCAUGCCUGCCAGGAGAUGUUGGCAAGGGGUGCUUCUGGGAGGCACCGGGCAUGGGGCACUCUUGGCUGUGUUGCUCGGGGUGUUGGUGAGGCCGUAUGGGCGGGGAGACAGUGCAUGGGAGCUACUGAGGAGAGGCUGAGUGGAGGUUGGUGUGGCGGAGAUGACGCUGAGGGCAUCUUGAUGAGGGGCCACUGCUGAGAGGAGAGACAGUGGGGGUGCUUCUGACGGGACACUGAUGAGGGCCGUUCAUCCGGGGCCUUGGUGAGGAUGCUGAGCAGAUGACAGCAAGGGGAUAUUGUUUAGGGGUG